This 511-nucleotide ribosomal RNA is filed under the name Grylloblatta sp. n. 'Trout Lake'. RNAcentral describes it as "partial 16S ribosomal RNA". It matches the Rfam family "Bacterial large subunit ribosomal RNA", at positions 1831 to 2600 of the family's 2925-position model. The record is from RNAcentral. Lineage: Eukaryota; Metazoa; Arthropoda; Insecta; Grylloblattodea; Grylloblattidae.
GUCUUCUUGUUUAUAUAUGAAGUCUGGUCUGCCCACUGAGAGGUUGAAGGGCCGCGGUAUUUUGACCGUGCAAAGGUAGCAUAAUCAUUAGUCUUUUAAUUGGGGGCUGGUAUGAAGGGCUGCACGAGGUAUAAGCUGUCUUAUUUGAAUUGUUAUUAGAAUUUAAUUUUUAAGUUAAAAAGCUUAAAUUUUUUUAGAGGACGAGAAGACCCUAUAGAACUUUAUAUAAAUAUAAUGUGAAUGGAAUUUGGUUGUGUUUGUUUUUAUAUAUAUUUGUAUUUUGUUGGGGUGACAGGAAAAUAAAAUUAACUUUUUUUAUUGAAUUACAUUGAUUUAUGAUUAUUUGAUCCAUUUUUAGUGAUUAUAAGAUUAAGUUACCUUAGGGAUAACAGCGUAAUUUUCCUUUAGAGUUCUUAUCGACGGGAAAGCUUGCGACCUCGAUGUUGGAUUAAGAUUAAUUUUUGGUGUAGAAGCUGAAAUAUUAGGUCUGUUCGACCUUUAAAUUCUUACA